GACGAACGCUGGCGGCGCGCCUAACACAUGCAAGUCGAACGAGAGAGAAGGAGCUUGCUUCUUCGAUCGAGUGGCGAACGGGUGAGUAACGCGUGAGGAACCUGCCUCAAAGAGGGGGACAACAGUUGGAAACGACUGCUAAUACCGCAUAAGCCCACAGGUCGGCAUCGACCAGAGGGAAAAGGAGUAAUCCGCUUUGAGAUGGCCUCGCGUCCGAUUAGCUAGUUGGUGAGGUAAUGGCCCACCAAGGCGACGAUCGGUAGCCGGACUGAGAGGUUGAACGGCCACAUUGGGACUGAGACACGGCCCAGACUCCUACGGGAGGCAGCAGUGGGGAAUAUUGCACAAUGGGGGAAACCCUGAUGCAGCGACGCCGCGUGGAGGAAGAAGGUCUUCGGAUUGUAAACUCCUGUUGUUGAGGAAGAUAAUGACGGUACUCA
This 440-nucleotide ribosomal RNA is filed under the name uncultured bacterium. Its description in RNAcentral is "bacterial SSU rRNA". It matches the Rfam family "Bacterial small subunit ribosomal RNA", at positions 28 to 481 of the family's 1533-position model. The record is from RNAcentral.